UAAGAAAUUGGGAUUAAUACUGCAUGAUAUUGAUUUAUUGCAUGAUAAAUUAAUCAAAGCUACGGCGGUAAGAGAUGAGUAUGCGUAAUAUUAGCUAGUUGGUAAGGUAACGGCUUACCAAGGCUACGAUAUUUAGGGGGCCUGAGAGGGUUAUCCCCCACACUGGUACUGAGACACGGACCAGACUCCUACGGGAGGCAGCAGUGAGGAAUAUUGGUCAAUGAAGGCAACUCUGAACCAGCCAUGCCGCGUGAAGGAAGAAUGUCCUAUGGAUUGUAAACUUCUUUUAUUUGGGAAGAAACCUACUCACGUGUGAGUAGCUGACGGUACCAAAAGAAUAAGGACCGGCUAACUCCGUGCCAGCAGCCGCGGUAAUACGGAGGGUCCAAGCGUUAUCCGGAAUCAUUGGGUUUAAAGGGUUCGCAGGCGGUUUAUUAAGUCAGUGGUGAAAUCCCAUAGCUCAACUAUGGAACUGCCAUUGAUACUGAUAGACUUGAAUAUAGUUGGAGUAGGCGGAAUGUGUAGUGUAGCGGUGAAAUGCUUAGAUAUUACACAGAACACCGAUAGCGAAGCAGCUUACUAAACUAUGAUUGACGCUCAUGAACGAAAGCGUGGGGAGCGAACAGGAUUAGAUACCCUGGUAGUCCACGCCGUAAACGAUGAUUACUCGAUAUUGGCGAUAUACGGUCAGUGUCUAAGCGAAAGUGAUAAGUAAUCCACCUGGGGAGUACGGUCGCAAGAUUGAAACUCAAAGGAAUUGACGGGGGCCCGCACAAGCGUGGAGCAUGUGGUUUAAUUCGAUGAUACGCGAGGAACCUUACCAGGGCUUAAAUGCAGAGUGACCGAUCUGGAAACAGAUCUUUCUUCGG
This 869-nucleotide ribosomal RNA is filed under the name uncultured bacterium. Its description in RNAcentral is "bacterial SSU rRNA". It matches the Rfam family "Bacterial small subunit ribosomal RNA", at positions 150 to 1021 of the family's 1533-position model. The record is from RNAcentral.